GGCAACAACAAUGGGUUAAUAGUGCUCUUGGCCUUAGAACGUCGAAGGGUCAGCCUGCGGCCGGCAAGCUAGCAAAGAAAAUUAUGCAAAUGGGCAAAAGAAAAUCAAUUUUAUUGAUUUUUGAUUUUACAUUUUAAGCGCUGCAGGGCCGAGAGAAUCGUUAAAAACGUAUCUAUAAAUCUGGCCACAAAUGCGAGCUGCAAACAUCAAUUGCAAUGAAAAUAAUUUGUCAAUUUGCACGUACGCGUUUGAGAGCUCCAUGGCCCCUAAAUAGAUUCGCCAAGGCAAUCCACUGGCUUCAAAAGGUGGCCAGCAGCUGUACAGCUGCACAGCUGAAUUGUUCAGUUUUUGCUUGUCCCAAUACGCGUAACAUAAAACUCUACAAUCGAGUAUGGCCAUACACUAAAUCUAAUGAAUGUUUGUGCAAUAAAAAAACGUCUCAACGUCUUAUUGGAAUUACCGGAAUCUGUAGUUCUUAUCUCUCUUUCGAUAGCAAAGACAAACAAAAGAUUCGGGUUUCAGGUACAUAUUUAAACAUUUAUAACUAUUUAUGCCGGCUCCAAAACAAACUACACAACACUGAUAAACUAAGGUAAACAAGUUAAAGCCCUAGGAACUUCCUGAGAGUCUGCAGCAUCUAGUGGAUCCGCAAACAUUGACAUAGCUCUAGAUUAUAAUGCGGCCUAAUUGCAAUGAGUCGGCCCUGAGCAUAUAGAAUCGAUUUCAUGCUAGACUAUUCUCUAAAUUAUUAAGGCCAGUAACAAACAAUCAAAAAAGUAUAUCCCAUUUAAAUUAAAUCCGGUAAUUUAGUUACACGAAACCACCUUAAGGCCACAGGCUGUUAACGGACUCCAAUUGCAAAUUGCAAAAAAAUAAAUUAUACAAAUAUAAAUAUUAAAUAUUUACUUCGGAGAAACAGUAAACAAAAGAAGCACCGGUGAAGGUGAAAUGUUUUAGCAAUCGCUCGUGGAAACGGAAUAUGAAUUCGGUUUAUCUUUCGUUGUGGCGAGGUAUAUGGGAGUGGAACAUUGCGAAGAUAAAAGUUCAGAACUUUCAAGAGAAUUCUUUGUUAUUAUUGAAAUGUAAACUGAUCUGAAUAAAACCUGGCAUUCUUUUAUCGGUAAAA
This 1126-nucleotide small RNA is filed under the name Drosophila pseudoobscura pseudoobscura. RNAcentral describes it as "GA32265". The record is from RNAcentral. Lineage: Eukaryota; Metazoa; Arthropoda; Insecta; Diptera; Drosophilidae.